UCCGGCUUAUCACCGGCAGUCCCUUUAGAGUGCCCAACUGAAUGGUGGCAACUAAAGGCGAGGGUUGCGCUCGUUGCGGGACUUAACCCAACAUCUCACGACACGAGCUGACGACAGCCAUGCAGCACCUGUGUUGCGGUUCCCUUUCGGGCACUCUCACAUCUCUGCGAGAUUCCGUACAUGUCAAGGGUAGGUAAGGUUUUUCGCGUUGCGUCGAAUUAAUCCACAUAAUCCACCGCUUGUGCGGGUCCCCGUCAAUUCCUUUGAGUUUUAACCUUGCGGCCGUACUCCCCAGGCGGUCAACUUCACGCGUUAGCUUCGUUACUGAACAGCAAGCCGUCCAACAACCAGUUGACAUCGUUUAGGGCGUGGACUAC
Molecule: unclassified non-coding RNA, 377 nt
Filed under: uncultured Gammaproteobacteria bacterium
Lineage: Bacteria; Pseudomonadati; Pseudomonadota; Gammaproteobacteria
Description: contains 16S-23S intergenic spacer region
Source: RNAcentral